Oncorhynchus tshawytscha (Chinook salmon) is the source of this 306-nucleotide long non-coding RNA. The record is from Ensembl. NCBI's taxonomy places the organism in Eukaryota, Metazoa, Chordata, Actinopteri, Salmoniformes, Salmonidae.
UGGUGGUGUAGGGGUGGUGGUGAUAGUGGUGGUGUAGGGGUGUUGGUGGUGGUGGUGGUGUAGGGGUAGUGGUGUAGGGGUGUUGAUGUAGGGGUGGUGGUGGUAGUGGUGGUGUAGGGGUGAUGGUGGUGGGGUGUUGGUGGUGGUGGUGUAGGGGUGGUGGUGUAGGGGUGGGGGUGGGGUGUUGGUGGUAGUGGUGGUGUAGGGGUGUUGGUUGUGUAGGGGUGUUGGUGGUGGUGUGGUGGUGGUGUAGGGGUGUUGGUUGUGUAGGGGUGUUGGUGGUGGUGUGGUGGUGGUGUAGGGGUG